GUACACCCUGCGGGAGGCAGCAGUGGGGAAUUUUGGACAAUGGGCGAAAGCCUGAUCCAGCAAUGCCGCGUGUGUGAAGAAGGCCUUCGGGUUGUAAAGCACUUUUGUCCGGAAAGAAAUCCUUGGCUCUAAUACAGUCGGGGGAUGACGGUACCGGAAGAAUAAGCACCGGCUAACUACGUGCCAGCAGCCGCGGUAAUACGUAGGGUGCGAGCGUUAAUCGGAAUUACUGGGCGUAAAGCGUGCGCAGGCGGUUUGCUAAGACCGAUGUGAAAUCCCCGGGCUCAACCUGGGAACUGCAUUGGUGACGGGCAGGCUAGAGUAUGGCAGAGGGGGGUAGAAUUCCACGUGUAGCAGUGAAAUGCGUAGAGAUGUGGAGGAAUACCGAUGGCGAAGGCAGCCCCCUGGGCCAAUACUGACGCUCAUGCACGAAAGCGUGGGGAGCAAACAGGAUUAGAAACCCCAGUAGUCCC
This 473-nucleotide ribosomal RNA is filed under the name uncultured organism. RNAcentral describes it as "partial 16S ribosomal RNA". It matches the Rfam family "Bacterial small subunit ribosomal RNA", at positions 333 to 797 of the family's 1533-position model. The record is from RNAcentral.